AUUGAACGCUGGCGGCAUGCCUUACACAUGCAAGUCGAACGGCAGCGGGCCUUCGGGUGCCGGCGAGUGGCGAACGGGUGAGUAAUGCAUCGGAACGUGCCAUUGAGUGGGGGAUAACGUAGCGAAAGUUGCGCUAAUACCGCAUAUUCUGUGAGCAGGAAAGCAGGGGACCGCAAGGCCUUGCGCUCUUCGAGCGGCCGAUGUCAGAUUAGCUAGUUGGUGAGGUAAAGGCUUACCAAGGCGACGAUCUGUAGCGGGUCUGAGAGGAUGAUCCGCCACACUGGAACUGAGACACGGUCCAGACUCCUACGGGAGGCAGCAGUGGGGAGUCUUAGACAAUGGGGGAAACCCUGAUCUAGCCAUGCCGCGUGGACGAUGAAGGCCUUAGGGUUGUAAAGUCCUUUCAGCUGGGAAGAUAAUGACGGUACCAGCAGAAGAAGCCCCGGNUAACUCCGUGCCAGCAGCCGCGGUAAUGU
Molecule: ribosomal RNA, 476 nt
Filed under: uncultured bacterium
Lineage: Bacteria
Description: bacterial SSU rRNA
Rfam family: Bacterial small subunit ribosomal RNA
Source: RNAcentral